AGCGAACAUUGGCGGUAGGCUUAACACAUGCAAGUCGAGCGAGGCGUAAUAGUCGAGCGGCGAACGGGUGCGUAAUACAUGGGAAUCUACCCUGAAGUGGGGGAUAACGUUCAGAAAUGGACGCCAAUACCGCAUAAUCCACAUGGGAAAGCGUUGCAGCGCUUUAGGAUGAGCCCAUGGCUGAUUAGCUAGUUGGUGAGGUAAUGGCUCACCAAGGCGACGAUCAGUAGCUGGUCUGAGAGGAUGACCAGCAACCCUGGAACGUGGACGCGGUCCAGACUCCGAGGGGAGGCAGCAGUGGGGAAUCGUGCGCAAGGGGGCAACCCUGACGCAGCCAUACCGCGUGAGUGAUGAAGGUCUUCGGAUUGUAAAGCUCUUUCGGCGGGGACGACGAUGACGGUACCCGCAAAAGAAGUCACGGCUAACUUCGUGCCAGCAGCCGCCGUAA
Molecule: ribosomal RNA, 448 nt
Filed under: uncultured bacterium
Lineage: Bacteria
Description: partial 16S ribosomal RNA
Rfam family: Bacterial small subunit ribosomal RNA
Source: RNAcentral